This 491-nucleotide ribosomal RNA is filed under the name uncultured bacterium. Its description in RNAcentral is "partial 16S ribosomal RNA". It matches the Rfam family "Bacterial small subunit ribosomal RNA", at positions 29 to 507 of the family's 1533-position model. The record is from RNAcentral.
AGUGAACGCUGGCGGUAGGCCUAACACAUGCAAGUCGAACGGCAGCACAGUAAGAGCUUGCUCUUACGGGUGGCGAGUGGCGGACGGGUGAGGAAUACAUCGGAAUCUACUUUUUCGUGGGGGAUAACGUAGGGAAACUUACGCUAAUACCGCAUACGACCUACGGGUGAAAGCAGGGGAUCUUCGGACCUUGCGCGAUUGAAUGAGCCGAUGUCGGAUUAGCUAGUUGGCGGGGUAAAGGCCCACCAGGGCGACGAUCCGUAGCUGGUCUGAGAGGAUGAUCGGCCAACCUGAAACGGAGACACGGCCCAGACUCCUACGGAGGGAAGCAGGGGGAAAUAUGGGACAAUGGGCGCAGCCUGAUCCAGCCAUACCGCGUGGGUGAAGAAGGCCUUCGGGUUGUAAAGCCCUUUUGUUGGGAAAGAAAAGCAGCAGGUUAAUACCCCGCUGUUCUGACGGUACCCAAAGAAUAAGCACCGGCUAACUUCGUG